AACUUCAAGAGCGGUCGCCAUGGAUAAGCAGAAGACUUCUUUUGCGAUGUGAAAUGGAGGAAUUUGAAUGAAUGAAGUGAGGGAAUCUCAGACUGAACUAAAAACUUAUCGAAUAUAAGUUGUUGCCACGCACUGAGUUUAUUAGCAGUUUGCAUAAAAUACACAUUUCUUGCAUUUUUUCUUUUUUGUCCAGCAAAAACUUAGUUGUAUGUAGGAUUGCAUGCAGAGUUCUGGACAUGCUUCCCGUCUUGGCUGAGAUUCUAAAGUUCCUUCUUCAUGCCUCACAAAAGAGACGCUUUUCAUUGAAGGAGGAUUACUGAACUUCCUCCAUCCCCUUCAUUGACAUUUCCUGAAAUUUUCAGAAAACACGCAGAGGCUAAAAAAGGAUUUGAAAAAACUGCAAGACUAUGUAAUACAAGUCCUGCAUGCCCGGCAUUGUCAAGCCUCUCAGCUCGAAGAAAGGAGGUGGAUCGGUGAACGUUGCCUCAGGAGCUCUGUUCGAUACCAUCACCUGAACAUGGAAAGAGGAUGGGACAACUGCAGACCUACCAAGACAUAGAUAUCCACCUAAACUUACAGGCUGAGUGAGGACAGCAUUAACCAGAGAAGCAGCUGGUUACUUUGGAGGAGGUGAAGAGGUCCAGAACACAGGUGACAGUGAUUCAAACGGGGAGUUACCCAGAUCAUCAAACAAGUAUUCAUGGCAGACACAGCUGGUUCAAACUUCAGCUGCCCGUCUGCUAACGUGGGACAAGACGACAUGAACACAUCACUUCGGGUUUGUAUCCCCUCCACUGGCUAAAUGUCUUAAUGGUCUGGCACCUCUUUACCUCAGUGAACUUUGAAGAUCUCUAGACCAAAGGCUGUUAGAUGUUCCCGUGAUUUGGAUUGUGACCAGGGAAGACAGAACAUUUUCAGAUGCAGGUACUAGGCUCUGGAACAGUCUUCCUCUUUCUGUGAGGUCCGCUGGAACAUUUUAAAUCUCUUUUAAAAACUCAUCUGUUUAAACUGAAUUUUAGUUCCGGAGAGCACGGCCAGUCCUGGUUUCUUCUUUGCCUUUUAUUGCUGUUUUUAUUGCUGAUGUUGUUAACCUUGUGUUUUAUUGCUUUUGGUUUUAUUUGCAUUUUAUCUGUU
Girardinichthys multiradiatus is the source of this 1134-nucleotide long non-coding RNA. RefSeq lists it as uncharacterized. The transcript is spliced from 5 exons. The record is from RefSeq and is a predicted model, not a curated record. Lineage: Eukaryota; Metazoa; Chordata; Actinopteri; Cyprinodontiformes; Goodeidae.